Molecule: ribosomal RNA, 506 nt
Filed under: uncultured bacterium
Lineage: Bacteria
Description: partial 16S ribosomal RNA
Rfam family: Bacterial small subunit ribosomal RNA
Source: RNAcentral
GAUGAACGCUAGCUACAGGCUUAACACAUGCAAGUCGAGGGGUAACGAGAGGAAAGCUUGCUUUCCUUGUCGACGACCGGCGCACGGGUGAGUAACGCGUAUCCAACCUGCCCCCAACUAAGGAAUAACCUUGCGAAAGUAAGACUAAUACCUUAUAAUUUCCUCAGAUGACAUCUGACGAGGAAUAAAGAUUUAUCGGUUGUGGAUGGGGAUGCGUCUGAUUAGCUUGUUGGCGGGGUAACGGCCCACCAAGGCAACGAUCAGGAGGGGUUCUGAGAGGAAGGUCCCCCACAUUGGAACUGGGACACGGUCCAAACUCCUACGGGAGGCAGCAGUGAGGAAUAUUGGUCAAUGGGCGGAAGCCUGAACCAGCCAAGUAGCGUGCAGGAUGACGGCCCUAUGGGUUGUAAACUGCUUUUAUACAGGAAUAAAGUUAGCCACGUGUGGUUAUUUGUAGGUACUGUAUGAAUAAGGACCGGCUAAUUCCGUGCCAGCCGCCGCCGUAA